RNAcentral lists this ribosomal RNA (253 nucleotides) under uncultured bacterium. Its description in RNAcentral is "partial 16S ribosomal RNA". It matches the Rfam family "Bacterial small subunit ribosomal RNA", at positions 524 to 776 of the family's 1533-position model. The record is from RNAcentral.
UACGUAGGGGGCAAGCGUUAUCCGGAUUUACUGGGUGUAAAGGGCGCGUAGGCGGGAAGCUAAGUUAGAUGUGAAAUCCCAAGGCUCAACUUUGGAACUGCAUCUAAAACUGGUUUUCUAGAGUGUGGGAGAGGAAAGCGGAAUUCUCAGUGUAGCGGUGAAAUGCGUAGAUAUUGAGAGGAACACCGGUGGCGAAGGCGGCUUUCUGGACCAUAACUGACGCUGAGGCGCGAAAGCGUGGGGAGCAAACAGG